This 376-nucleotide ribosomal RNA is filed under the name uncultured bacterium. Its description in RNAcentral is "bacterial SSU rRNA". It matches the Rfam family "Bacterial small subunit ribosomal RNA", at positions 524 to 898 of the family's 1533-position model. The record is from RNAcentral.
UACAUGGGGUGCAAACGUUGCUCGGAAUUAUUGGGCGUAAAGCGCGCGUAGGCGGUUACUCAAGUCGGAUGUGAAAGCCCUCGGCUUAACUGAGGAAGUGCACCCGAAACUGAGUAGCUAGAGUACUAAAGAGGGUCGCGGAAUUCCCGGUGUAGAGGUGAAAUUCGUAGAUAUCGGGAGGAACACCGGUGGCGAAGGCGGCGACCUGGGUAGAUACUGACGCUGAGGCGCGAAAGCGUGGGGAGCAAACAGGAUUAGAUACCCUGGUAGUCCACGCCGUAAACGAUGGGUGCUAGAUGUUUCUGGUAUUGACCCCGGAGGCGUCGUAGCUAACGCGUUAAGCACCCCGCCUGGGGAGUACGGCCGCAAGGCUAAA